Molecule: long non-coding RNA, 950 nt
Organism: Peromyscus eremicus (cactus mouse)
Lineage: Eukaryota; Metazoa; Chordata; Mammalia; Rodentia; Cricetidae
Exons: 3
Source: RefSeq, a predicted model, not a curated record
GCAGUGGUGGCACACACCUUUAAUCCCAGCACUUGGGAGGAGGAAGCAGGAAGGUCAAAAGUUCAAGGCCACCCUGGGCUACAUGAGAUUGAUCCAGUCUACAAGAGAAACAGCCAGGUGACAGAAGCUCAAGCCUUUAAUCCCAGCACUAGGGAGGUGGAGACAGUAAUACAUGGUGGGAGGAGACAGAAGUUCAGCCCCUUUUCCAUCUGAGGAGUGGUGGAGUGCUUCUACAGAUGCAUUCACUUGUUUAUUGACAAAGAUCCAGACAUUAUUCCAGCUCCAGGAUAUCAUAGCUAUGAGCAACAAAGCAGUAGAACACUGACUGAGACAAGGGGGCAGCGAUGACAGGCAGGCACAUCCAGACUCUGCACAGAGAAAUGUAAGAAUACAUUUGGCAAAGUUGAGGAAGAGAAAUAUUGGCGUGGUUGAAGUGUGACCUUGGGGUAAGAGAGACAAUAGCAGCAAUGAAGUCAAAAGUAAUAAGUAGAGGUGACAGCCAUGCUCACCGCGUGACAGCGGGAUCAUCGAGGUGGGUACUACUAUCAAGUAAACAAGAGCCAGCAGACCCAGAGGACAGACUACCAAAGCUGCACAGCCAGUGAGGGAACAGACUGGAGUCCAGUGAGGGGUAGACCCACGUCAGUCAGCGACUACCUGUCUGUCUGAGGUAAUGCCUACCCUGGUUCUAGCUAGCAGUUCCUCAGUCUGUUUUCCUUUUAAACUUUUGGCUUAUGGUUUUGUUUAUGAAAUGGUGUACCUGUCUGUCUGAGGUAAUGCCUACCCUGGUUCUAGCUAGCAGUUCCUCAGUCUGUUUUCCUUUUAAACUUUUGGCUUAUGGUUUUGUUUAUGAAACGGUGUCACUCAGCAGCCCCAGCUGGCCUCAGACUUACAGUCCAGUAUUGGUGAAAUUAUUAAGGCCACUCCACGUAGUUAAAGGGGGGGGGUAU